CGCACAUUGCGCCCCUCGGUAGCCCGGAGGGCAUACCUGUUCGAGCGUCAUCUAAUAAAUCAAAACUCUGUUUUGACAUUGGACCUCUUCGUUAAAUUUUACGUUUAACGGGUCUUGAAUCUGUCGGCAGCUUCUGAUAAGCUUCAAGCGUAGUAAAUAUUCUCCCGUUUGAAAAGCUUCUUGAGAGUUUUGCCACUAAAUGAAACUAUUAUCAUAUUUUGACCUCGAAUCAGGUAGGGAUACCCGCUGAACUUAA
RNAcentral lists this unclassified non-coding RNA (256 nucleotides) under fungal sp. RNAcentral describes it as "partial contains 5.8S ribosomal RNA, internal transcribed spacer 2, and large subunit ribosomal RNA". Lineage: Eukaryota; Fungi. The record is from RNAcentral.